GACAUAGGUGGCAAGCGUUAUCCGGAUUUACUGGGCGUAAAGCGCGUGUAGGCGGCCUUGCAAGUUGGAUGUGAAAUCCCACGGCUCAACCGUGGAAGUGCAUGGGAAACUGCAGAGCUUGAGUACUUAAGAGGAUCGCGGAAUUCCCGGUGUAGAGGUGAAAUUCGUAGAUAUCGGGAGGAACACCAGUGGCGAAGGCGGCGAUCUGGGAAGAUACUGACGCUGAGGUGCGAAAGCGUGGGGAGCAAACAGG
Molecule: ribosomal RNA, 253 nt
Filed under: uncultured bacterium
Lineage: Bacteria
Description: partial 16S ribosomal RNA
Rfam family: Bacterial small subunit ribosomal RNA
Source: RNAcentral